This 292-nucleotide ribosomal RNA is filed under the name uncultured bacterium. Its description in RNAcentral is "partial 16S ribosomal RNA". It matches the Rfam family "Bacterial small subunit ribosomal RNA", at positions 505 to 796 of the family's 1533-position model. The record is from RNAcentral.
GUGUCAGCCGCCGCGGUAAUACGUAGGGAGCAAGCGUUGUCCGGAAUCAUUGGGCGUAAAGCGCGCGUAGGCGGCCCGAUAAGUCCGCUGUAAAAGUCAACGGCUCAACUGUUGAAAGCCGGUGGAUACUGUCGGGCUAGAGUACGGAAGAGGCAAGUGGAAUUCCUGGUGUAGCGGUGGAAUGCGCAGAUAUCAGGAGGAACACCUAUAGCGAAGGCAGCUUGCUGGGACGUUACUGACGCUAAGGCGCGAAAGCGUGGGGAGCGAACAGGAUUAGAAACCCCCGUAGUCC